This 433-nucleotide ribosomal RNA is filed under the name uncultured bacterium. RNAcentral's name for it is "partial 16S ribosomal RNA". It matches the Rfam family "Bacterial small subunit ribosomal RNA", at positions 29 to 507 of the family's 1533-position model. The record is from RNAcentral.
AGCGAACGCUGGCGGCAGGCCUAACACAUGCAAGUCGAACGAACUCUCCGGAGUUAGUGGCGGACGGGUGUGUCACACGUGGGAACGGUCCUUUUGGUUCGGAAUAACUCUGGGAAACGUGUGCUAAUACCGAAUGUGCCCUUCUGGGGAAAGAUUUAUCGCGAUUGGAGCGGCCCGCGUCUGAUUAGCUAGUUGGUGUGGUAACGGCUCACCAAGGCGACGAUCAGUAGCUGGUCUGAGAGGAUGGCCAGCCACACUGAGACUAAGACACGGCCGAGACUCCUACGGGAGGGGGCAGUGGGGGAUCUUGCGAAAUGGGCGAAAGGAUGACGGAGCCAUGCCGGGUGAAUGAUGAAGGUCGUAGGAUUGAAAAGUUCUUUCACCGGGGACGAUAAUGACGGUACCCAAAGAAGAAGCCCCGGCUAACUUCGUG